This 497-nucleotide ribosomal RNA is filed under the name uncultured bacterium. RNAcentral's name for it is "partial 16S ribosomal RNA". It matches the Rfam family "Bacterial small subunit ribosomal RNA", at positions 28 to 507 of the family's 1533-position model. The record is from RNAcentral.
GAUGAACGCUGGCGGCGUGCCUAAUACAUGCAAGUCGAGCGAACAGACGAGGAGCUUGCUCCUCUGACGUUAGCGGCGGACGGGUGAGUAACACGUGGAUAACCUACCUAUAAGACUGGGAUAACUUCGGGAAACCGGAGCUAAUACCGGAUAAUACAUCGAACCGCAUGGUUCAAUAGUGAAAGACGGUUUUGCUGGCACCUAUCGAUGGAUCCGCGCGGCAUUAGCUAGUUGGUAAGGGAACGGCUUACCAAGGCGACGAUGCGUAGCCGACCUGAGAGGGUGAUCGGCCACACUGGAACUGAGACACGGUCCAGACUCCUACGGGAGGCAGCAGUAGGGAAUCUUCCGCAAUGGGCGAAAGCCUGACGGAGCAACGCCGCGUGAGUGAUGAAGGUCUUCGGAUCGUAAAACUCUGUUAUUAGGGAAGAACAAAUGUGUAAGUAACUAUGCACGUCUUGACGGUACCUAAUCAGAAAGCCACGGCUAACUACGUG